Molecule: non-coding RNA, 27 nt
Filed under: Rattus norvegicus (Norway rat)
Lineage: Eukaryota; Metazoa; Chordata; Mammalia; Rodentia; Muridae
Source: RNAcentral
UGGCAGUAACAGUUCCUGUGGCUUUGC